Molecule: long non-coding RNA, 388 nt
Filed under: Carica papaya (papaya)
Lineage: Eukaryota; Viridiplantae; Streptophyta; Magnoliopsida; Brassicales; Caricaceae
Description: long non-coding RNA (CPAP_LNC010232)
Source: RNAcentral
AAAUCACACACAAACAAGCAAACCAGUAAUUUAUGCCAAACAAGAUAACACACAACAUCGGGUUCUCAGUCAUUCAACCCAUAAUCAAUAAAACAGUCAUAUAUGCACACGAAACUAUGAAAUGAAAACAUCAGACCUCAUACUGCAUUUAAAAUUGUAAAAUAGGCCAAACAACAGCUGACCGACAAACACACCAGACUCGAGCUCCAUUAGCGACUUUAAACAAUUUCACACAUCUAUUGAUUCAUGAAAUACCGUUUUAUCAUUUAUUAAACUUUAAUACCGUGAUAGAAAAUAGGGUGAGGGGUCCUUACUCGUUUCGGGGUCCGAACACGGCUUCACAGUGCGCCUACAGGCUGUCCCUAAUUUUCCCUGAAUUUUUCCCGGG